GUGGGGAAUAUUGGACAAUGGGCGAAAGCCUGAUCCAGCCAUGCCGCGUGUGUGAAGAAGGUCUUCGGAUUGUAAAGCACUUUAAGUUGGGAGGAAGGGCAGUAAGUUAAUACCUUGCUGUUUUGACGUUACCGACAGAAUAAGCACCGGCUAACUUCGUGCCAGCAGCCGCGGUAAUACGAAGGGUGCAAGCGUUAAUCGGAAUUACUGGGCGUAAAGCGCGCGUAGGUGGUUGUGUAAGUUGGAGGUGAAAUCCCCGGGCUCAACCUGGGAACUGCCUCCAAAACUGCAUGACUAGAGUACGGUAGAGGGUAGUGGAAUUUCCUGUGUAGCGGUGAAAUGCGUAGAUAUAGGAAGGAACACCAGUGGCGAAGGCGACUACCUGGACUGAUACUGACACUGAGGUGCGAAAGCGUGGGGAGCAAACAGGAUUAGAAACCCUAGUAGUCC
RNAcentral lists this ribosomal RNA (450 nucleotides) under uncultured bacterium. Its description in RNAcentral is "bacterial SSU rRNA". It matches the Rfam family "Bacterial small subunit ribosomal RNA", at positions 354 to 796 of the family's 1533-position model. The record is from RNAcentral.